UACGUAGGGUGCGAGCGUUAAUCGGAUUUACUGGGCGUAAAGCGUGCGCAGGCGGCCCGUUAAGACAGGUGUGAAAUCCCUGGGCUCAACCUAGGAAUUGCGCUUGUGACUGGCGGGCUCGAGUACGGUAGAGGGGGGUGGAAUUCCUGGUGUAGCAGUGAAAUGCGUAGAGAUCAGGAGGAACACCGAUGGCGAAGGCAGCCCCCUGGGCCUGUACUGACGCUCAUGCACGAAAGCGUGGGGAGCAAACAGU
RNAcentral lists this ribosomal RNA (253 nucleotides) under uncultured microorganism. RNAcentral's name for it is "partial 16S ribosomal RNA". It matches the Rfam family "Bacterial small subunit ribosomal RNA", at positions 524 to 776 of the family's 1533-position model. The record is from RNAcentral.